UUGCAUCAUAGUAAGGUAAAUAGACAUCAGUCUCUGAAUGGCACUGCGCGUUGUUGUUUUCUGUUGGUGAGGUGAGUUUCUGUUCUUUCUCUCUCGCAAAUUCAGUUGAGUUGAUUAACACUCGUUUGUUAAUGUAGUUUGUUUGUUUUUGUUUAGGGUUUAAAAUUAAGGAUUUAGGGUUAGGGUUUAAGAUUUAGGGUUUAAGAAGUAGCCAUAAGAAGGCUCUAUUAUAAGAGUCAACAGCAGGGGCUUAUUUCAAUGGCCACCUGACUGCCGCUUAGAGCCAAAACGGAAAAAACCAGUUGAAGAUCCUUGAAAUCAAACCCCCUUUUUUUCAAGACACAAUCUCUGGUCAAAUUAUUAUUAUGUUUGUUAUAAUUAUGUAGUUACUUGUUGGCACUUUAGUCAGACACGGGUGUUUGUUGCUUUUUUCUCAAAACAAACAACCUUUUGCAUGGUGCCUAUAUAUAUUCCGGCUAUUGAUUCACGAUUGGAGGAACCUUUCUCUUUUGUGGUUCUUUCAAAUUUCAAGCAGCUAUAUGUUGUUGUUUUGCAGGAACCAAAACAACAAUAGUUACUUUUACUUUUUCAACUUUUCACCAUGAUUUUGGGUGAUGGAAUUGAUUCUUGUAGCUAUCCAAACACACUAAUAUUAGUAACUUCUGGCAAAUGUUACAUGUGACUUACAAAGUUGAGUUUUGGGUUAUUUUUGGGGAGCAAUAGAGUUUACCCUGCUAACUCUAUAUUUAAAUGUUUCUCUAUUUAG
RNAcentral lists this long non-coding RNA (766 nucleotides) under Glycine max (soybean). RNAcentral describes it as "long non-coding RNA (GMAX_LNC003981)". Lineage: Eukaryota; Viridiplantae; Streptophyta; Magnoliopsida; Fabales; Fabaceae. The record is from RNAcentral.